This 11179-nucleotide long non-coding RNA is filed under the name Nicotiana tabacum (common tobacco). Its description in RNAcentral is "long non-coding RNA (NTAB_LNC016253)". The record is from RNAcentral. Lineage: Eukaryota; Viridiplantae; Streptophyta; Magnoliopsida; Solanales; Solanaceae.
GUGGUUCUCCUACCUGAAUAAAAAAUUAAUUUGAAUUUGAAAAUUUUAGAUUAAGACGUUCUAGUUGAUAAAUGACAAGAUUGUUUUGUUUAAUUUCAUAUAUAUUUGAAGGUUAGCAUUUCCAGCGUGCUGUGCACUCGUCACUUGUACCUACCGCAAAAGCAGUUAACUUCGAGGCAUCUGCUGCGUCGCUGUUCUGUUAAUGGAGAUAAUAGUGUAACUGCCUCUUCUCGUUUCCUUUUGUUUUUUGUUAAUUUAUUCGCUGACUUCAUCUUGUAUCUUAAAGUAUUGCUGCAUUGCCUUCUUUCGAUUUAGGAUUUAAACCCGUGGGUGCUAAGUAUCACAUACUGUACUAAAUUUGUACAUUUUGAAAAAAGUUCAAUUGGUAAUUCCUUCUCUUUUAUACAAUCAUUUUCAUGUAGUUGUUAGUUCAAUUGUUAGCUGGUCUUUUUCAGAGCAGAGAGAUACAGCAGAUCUAUUUUCUACUACAUUGUUGUGCCCAACUAAUGAGGUAAUGUAUUAGUGAAGAGGAAGUAGUAAUCUCUCGGUAGAGAUGAGUUCUAACGUGAUUCAUUUUACAGCAAUGCUAUUACCUGAAUAGACUGGAAUGGAUAUAGAGGAUCUAUAUAACCAACCCUAACUGACUUGGGUUUAAGCGUAGUUGAUUGAUCGUUCACACAUCAUACUAUUGAAGUUGAGGAGUCUAUUCUUGAUUGACUGAUUGGAUUAGUGUUUUUUCGAAUUCCUUGGACUAGAGUGCCUACUCUUGAGAUUAGAUUAUUUACUGUUAUUUGGUUUCACUAAUUUGGAGGAUUGCUGAAUGAGCACAGAAGCAGAACCUAAGGAUAAAAGGGAUAUAUGGGAACUAACUAAAGGAUGAAAUUAUGCACAAACCAAGCAUUGUUGGCAGCCUUGCCCUGUUAAUACAAAUAAUCAACACCCACGAGCAAUCGAGCAUUAGGCUGAAGAAAUCCAAUUCUUAAACUUAAUCUCAAACACAAUCUUAAAUAGGACCUAAAUCCUUGUUUGAUGACAAGCAAUUAAGUUAGAUUAUAAGAAAAUAAACAAGGGGGAGAAGAUAACGGAACUUUUACUUAGACAGUCAUCUCAAGUAGUCCAAGUUAUGGCUCAAAAGGGAGAGAUAGAGGGCAACACCCAAUGUCACAAGAGGUUUUUUCAAGCUUAACUUGGGAACUCUUCAAUUCAUCAAAAGUUGAUUAAUUAAAAUGAAAUCUAACUCUAUAUUGUAGUGUUAAGGUGUUAGGCCCAUUAAGAACUAAUACAAAGCAUUGAGUCUCUAAAACUAGGUUCAAAAUACAACCUUGUCCAUGUUUCAGCUUUGGAGAAGAGAUGCUAACGCAUCUAAGGGAGUUGCAUUCACUCUCUAUACAUUUGGUUCCGGAAGCCACUGGAUCAUUAUGGCUCUGUCAUGCAACUGCACAUAAUAAUUUGGCGCAGGCGCAAAUUAACUCACUAGCUUCAUGUUAUCCCGGAAAUAUUGCUGAUGCAAUUGCAGUAGAGAUGGCGUACAUUCGCAUUUCCAAUGGCUUUGAUCCCUCUUGCUUGCUUCAUUCUUCGAUCCAGGACAAGCUUGACUCUUCAAGCCCCCUUCCCAGCUCUGUUCAUGAGUUGCAUAGGUCUUUUAGUACUUCAAGCACCAAUCUCCGUUGUAGCUAGAACUCCCCUAUUUGGAUCUAUUGAUCUCACUGGAUUCAUAUGAAAAUUGGUAUGUUUCCUAAAAACAGCUAUUGAGUAGUCGACGGAACCGAGCCAAAAAGAGGUGGAAUAGAUAUAGAGGAUUCAUGUAGCAGAGUUAAACUAGUUUUGGAUUCUGGUGUAGUUUUUGUUAUUGGUUGUCAUAUUAAGGGUGCAUGCAAACUAAUAAUACAUGGUAUUGGGGACGAUCAUAUCAUGCAUUCUAUGUGUCAAACUUACAGGGUACCCCUGUUUGGUAUUAUCAAAUAUGUCUUCGUUGGUCUUCCUUUAAUGUUUCCCAAAUCUUAUCCAUAUUUCCUAAGUUUGGUACUACUUCUAUGUUUCAUGAUGUGGUGAUUUAUCUCGUAGCUAACCUCUCUACUGUUGUGCAAGGCAAGGUUUACAAGUCACCAGAGUUUCAAAAUAGUCCUCUAGAUCAGAAAGGUAUUUUCCAAAAAGGUAAAGUGUGUAUUUGAUGUCUUUGUAACAGUUAAUAUAUAAUGUUCUCCAUACCACCCAAACCUUAUGUUUGGGUAUACUUUUAUGUCUUGCUAGGGACUGCAGAAAACCAUGAAAAUAGUCAAACAGAAUCACUCACAUCAAACAAGUAAGUCCCACUUCUUGCACUGCUUUGACCAAUAGUGUAUGGAAAAUCUGAGACACGCUUGAUAUUGCUAUCUAUACAGCUUUCCAUGUUCGACUCUUCUUUAUUUUGACUUUUGAGUUGUAUGAUCAAGUUCAAUAUGUGUAAGAAUUGUGCCAUUUGGUAUUUUCUCCUCCCUUAGUUGGCAGAAAUAUUGUGUGCUAUGGUACAUAAAAAAUUACCACCUCCUUCACAUAUUGAACAAAUAUAUUUAGUGGAAUGUCAUACUAAAUCAUAGGUUCAACUGGAGGAUACCAUCACUUGUGACAAUAUAAUUCUGGUGGAACAAUGGUUCUAGAGUUCUCCUAAAUCUCCACUUUUGAAAUUCAUGACACCAAACAAACAUUGUUUCUAAAAAGAACAAGAAGAAGAAGCAGAAGAAAGAAAAUGAAACCACCAAAAAAGCUACACAACCUUUCACUUAUGCUCUAUACUGUAUCAAACUAUGUCAGAAGUGCUAUUUCUCCUGGUAACGUCUUUCAUGACCUAUUAGUUAAUGUGUUUUUAAAUUGAUGAUAGGGGGCCAGAUUUUCAAGUUUUCUUAAUAUCUUCUGCCUCUUCUCUUUCUCUUUAUUGACAUAAAAUUCUAGUAUGGUCUUGGUAUAUGUUUUUAUAUCUUGUGGAACUUUCUCUUCACAUUUUUCUAUGCUGAGGUGAACACUCGCAAUAUCCAGUUUGGCGGAACACCCAAUGUUAAGAUCUAAUUCUUUUUCCUUGCUGCAUUUCAGUGUUCUGACAAGAUUGAGAAAAUAUGGCGUUGCAGGAGUAUUAUCAUAUGGACUACUAAAUACUGCAUACUAUCUUACUACCUUUCUUAUUGUGUGGUAUGUGAUGUGAUGUGAACAACAGGACCAUUUGUACUUCUACUUCCAAUAUUUAGUAGCAUAUUGGACCAGUGAUACACUAUUUCCAUCAGCUAUUCGGUCUUUAGAAAACUUAUAAGCCCUAGUUUGUAGAUUCUUACACACCUCAAUUUUACCCUGUGGAGAAAUUCAUUUUUCAAUUUCAUAGGUAAACAACAUUAAAAUAGAAUAAAAAAGAUUUUUCUUGUGGAAAAAACAUGAACAUUUUUGUCUAUUGAUUUUUUAGUGAGUUCUUGUGGAUGUGGCUGGAGAGGAAAAGUAGUUCUAUCAAUAAAGAUUGCGCAUGAGGAAUAUUGAAUCCUUACUAGAGAAGUUUCAGCUUUUCUUCCUCUUAUGAAAAGAUCUCAUUGUACUUUCAAAGGAAGCUUAUGUUCAUUUUUCGUCAACUCAUAUCGUGGAAUGAUAAUAUACAAAGAGGUCAUUUCACCUCUAAGAGAAAUCUCUGAUUCUUUUUAAAAUCUCAGUUAAUUGAUCCUUUGGAUUCCUAUGCAAAUUUAUGCAUGUAAAACUAGCUCAUUGAUUUGUUUGUAUAUACAUACACACAAAGACAUGACACACACCGGGAAAAAAAAGGUUGCUGGUUGCCUUUUGCAUGCAAGGCCUAAGGUAAACAUUUGAAAAUGGUGACAGACAAGAUUUCAGUGAUCAAAUAUCAGGGUAUCAAUAAAAACUUUGCCCUGUCGUAUUCCUUCGAGCUGCCAUAGUUUACAUAUCAAAUGCACAACGCCUGCUGCUAUCCAAUGUGAAAACCAGUUUGUGUCUAGAGGCAAUACUCCAACCAAGUUUCAGGGAUAGGCAUAAGAGUAAUAUUACCAAGCAGUGGUGAGGGGAGAAAAUAUACAUUGUUUUACUGCUAUCCACAGCUAGUCUCUCAUGAUAAUAAAAUGUGUUUGAAAGACCAGAAUCACAUCUAUCUGUUCUGUUACACGAUAUCAUAUGGUUUAUCCAUUUCAUUCUCAUUAAUUUUUGUUUGUUUCUAGGUUUUAUGUUGCUCCAUCACCUGGAAGAAUGGGUUACCUUGCUGCAGUUGAACGGUAACUGUAACUUUAUGAGUUCUUUUCCUUUCCAGUUGAUCUAUGAUUGGCUUCUUUGGAGAAACUUAAGUAGUUCCAGUUCAUCUGCAGGUUUCUCAAAGUAAUGGCCAUGGUAUGGGCUGGUAGCCAAGUUACGAAGCUUGUCCGAGCAGGAGGGUGAGAAUCCAACGAUGUACAUGUUAGCCACAGAAUUGUGUACUAUGAGUCCUUGGUCCCUUGCCUAUGUUUGGGAGUUAGUGUGGGAGCCUUCAAAUUGCAAAAGUUUCUGUUGUAAUUGUCUAUUUCAUUAUUUCUUGUUCAGAUAAAACAAAUCUGUUUUCUGUCUUUUAGUUGGACUAAUUGAAUAUGUUUCCAUCCUAUGUACUUCUUUGGAGACAAAGGAAACCAGCAUUUCAUAUUAGAAGUGAACGUGCAUAUAAAAGGAAGUGACGGAGUGUAGAUAAAGAAGAGGUCGAUUUGGUGUAUGAUCCUACAUUUAGCUCAGCCUCUUAAGCUGACAUUUUGCAUCUAAUAAAAGCACCAAUAGGAUAACAGCAUAUAUAUGAUAGGUUCCUGUUCAUGUAGAAUUCAUUCAACGGACAUAACAACAGAAUGAGAUGAGUAUUUCUCUCUUAUAAUGUCACCAAUGAUUUUCUUUCAUGAGAGAACUCUUUGAUUUCUACAGCUUAUUUAAUAUGAGAAAAAUUGGUAUUAUGAGCUGUGAGUCAACCCUUAUCAUCUAUGUUUCUAGGAGUCAAUAAUGUGUCUGAUUCAUAUACUUUACAUACAUUUUGCAUUUCUGAACAUGCUUAGGUUAUAUAUCUUUCUUCUAUCUAUAUUUUCCCCAUGGAACGAGAAUAAAGGAGGAAAUUGUGGAUCACAUUUCAGAUAGAACUGAUCUAGUUGUAUUUUGCCAGAGUGAUUAAACUAGUUUCUGUCAAGCACGCAUGCAUGCACACACGUAUACCAUGCGUCCGGGUUGUUUUUUAAAAUGGGGUUUCCUGAAAUUGUAUUAUAAUUUUUGUGCUUUUACAGAAUUUAUUUUGUUAGAUUCUUUUCAGUAUGAGGUUCAGUCUUAAAAAGUUAGCUCUUCAAAAACAUUUUAGCUCUUCUGCAUGGGUAUCUUAUCUGUGAGAAUUUGAAAUCUAGAGCACAUGCUGAUUCUCCGCAGGGCUUUAGCUCUCGCUCCUUUUGUGGACAGAGGAUUAUCAUGGUUUACAACCAAGAUGAAUUUUGAAUCACAAGGGAAAGUAAGUGAAAUUGUGAUUUUUUCCAGCAUCAUCAAUGUAACAAGCUUUUUGCAAUUAACCAUGUAACUUUGUAAUGCAGGCUUUCAUGGUUAUCGCUGGGUUCUGCUUUGGUUUGGCUUUUAUGAUGUUUCUCAUAGUUACCCUACUCUGGGCAUGACCUUCUGUUGUUCAUUUGUCCAAUCGAGGGAUUUCCCGAGCUCUUGUGCUGAAGGUAGUGCUUGUCCAGGUGAGCAAAUGCUUUAAUCACCAUGAUUUUUGCCAUUGUUUCUUUCUUUAUUUGCUUGUGUAGAACUCAUUGGCUGAUUUUUCUUGUAUUUCAUCUUCAGUCACAAAGUUAUCACUAUCUAGGCGAAUUUUGAACAUGGCCUAGGAGGAUCUAACAAAAGAUGCUGCAUAAGAUUCUUACUUUUAUCAGGAUAGGAUAUUGAAAAUACUUGUAGAUCGUUCCCUAAACAUCUGAUAUCACUUGUAAUGCGCCGUGUGUAUGCCCUUCGUCUUGUUGCAUCUGAUAUUACUUGUAAAGCGUCGUGUGUAUGUUCAAAAUAGCCCCUUCGUCUUGUAAUCUGCCUGUCAUAUAAUCAUGCUUUGAUAAUGUUCAAGUAAUUAGCUUUUCAGUGAGAAAUUUUUCAUCUAAAAUACUGAAUUCAUGCUUUGCUAUUGGUUAUCAUAAUCUGCAAACUGAUAAAAUACUCUGUUUAAGUGUUCAUUUCUACUGGUGGGGAUUAUACUUAGGUUAUUUUUUUCUUUCUCUCAUCUGUUUUUUCUUAAAACUUUCCAAGUGCUAUAGUGUAAUGAGAAGCAAAAUUGAGUUUCCUAUUUAACACAUCCCCUAUUUCCUUAACCGAUGGUAUAUUUUCCUGAGUUCAGUUUUCACUCACAAAAGCAAGUCUAACCAAGAAGCAUUGAGUAGAUAUUUACCUUAGCAUCUGCAAAUCAUUGUAGCACAGAGUAGAUAUUGACCUUCUUAGGUGUGUCUUAAUGUGCACUCCAGAAAAUAGUCCAUAACUCAACAAUCUUUUAGUUCCCCUCAGAGUAGGGGUGCUUAUCGGGCGGAUAACUACGCUUAACGGUUCGGUUUAUUGGUUAUUGGAUUAUAAAUGUAGUAAUCCGCUAGCCAUCCAAUAAGACAACGGGCGGAUUGGUAUCGGAUUAACGAUUAUCGGGCGGUUUAUCGUUUAAACCAAGUAAAAAAAAAAUUUAACAAUCAUUCAAUUAAUGCCAAACGGUUUCAAAUCAUAGAUCGCUUUCUCUAGUUCUAUCUUGAGAUGUUGUGUGAUGUUUUCUUUGGUUCUAUCUUGGAAUUGUAUUUGUACUGUCUCAAUUUUCAUGCAUAUUUUCUGAAAAGUAUUGAUUAAACAAUUGUAUUAUAUAUAUAUAGCUGGUAAAUUCUAUUAUGAAAAAAAUACUACUGCACAAAAUACAGAUGCAUUUCUAACUUCUUAUUAGUUUCCACUUAUUUUUCAUUUGGUUAUUAUAAAGGCAUCUAAGUUACUUGGUUCAAAUGUAUCUAAGGCAACAUAGUCCAAUCUGCGGCAAGUACGUAGUCUGAAUUUGUUGGAGCGUGUAAAUAGAAAAAUUCUUAUCGGGUUAACGGUUUACCCGAUAAGAAAAUUGAGUAAUCCGUCCCCAAACCGUUAAGUUAUUAAUUAUAAAAUCUUAAUCCGUUCAUCAUUCAUUAUCCCGAUAAUCCGAUAUCAAUAAGCCAAUUUGAUUCGAUUAACGGUUUCGGUUCGGUUUUGAACAGCCUUACCUCAUAGAUGCUAACUCUCGAUUAGACACUUCCAUUUAUAUUUUGAAAAAAAGAUUCUUGAUAAUGUGUACUUUUAAAUGUAAUCGCCAGCGCCCAGUGAGCCGUAGACGGUGAAUUCCUUCCAGGGUCUUGUACACAACAGUACUAAACUUUCAAAAUAAGAGAAGAGAGAUGAGAUCAAGCCCAUAGGCGAUGAACUGUUUCCGACUUCUUCAUUAUGCGAGUAUUCACAAAGAUUCACAAGCAUACUGACGUGUUUUUUCUUGAAAGUAUGUUACUUCAUGAAAUAACUAUUUAUUUAAAAUCUGAAUCACAUUAUUAAAACCCCAACAAUGCUAACCGCUUUCAGAAGUUUUUGGAAAAAUGAAAAUCUAAGUUAGAAUUUUAUUUAAUAUGACAAGAGAAGUCAAUGCUUUACUCCACAAUGGAUUGAAAUCUUUGUUAAUAUGAAAGUAUACACUUGCUAAAGUUUAUAUAUAUAUAUAAACACUAGUAUUUUUUGCUGCAAUUUUCAGUAACUCAACGCGCAAAACGGUGCAAAUAAUAUGCUUCAAACAACGUUUUCUCUGAUGGAAUUUAUCAUCACGCCCUUCAAACGAGUUCUGGUUGCUUUAGAACAGUACACUUGGAAUUUUUCCUAGAGCACUCGUGAAACCAAGGUGAAGGUACUAGUAUAAGGGUGUAUUUGCAAAUUUAGUAAUCUAUGUGCAUAUAGCUGGCUCUAACAGUACCAAAAAGAUAAAAAGGAAACGAAGAAUGGUGUACUGUCGCAACCUACUAAUAAAGCUCGGAAAAAACUGUUUUGCGCGUUGAGUUACUGAAAAUUGCAGCAAAAAAUCCUAGUGAUUUUAUAGAUAUAUAUAAAUGGUUAGAAAAGGAAAAUGGAACUCUGCAAAAGUGCUUGUUGGAUGUGGUAAUUUAUGCUCACUAAUAUUUCUCAACACAUACAAUGAUACAGUAGCUAAAAAGACAUGAUAUUCUUGACAGUUCAAUAGUAUGUGUAUACUGCAAAUUUUAAGAGUACAGUUGUGCUAUUCCACGUUUCAUCACUUCCUGGAACCAGCUUCCCACAAAUCAGAGCCAACAGGAAAAUGAAUCCCCAAUCAAUACCACCCCAUGUAAACACACUGUUAGUCCUUGAGAAAAACAAAAAUAUCAAGCUACGUAGCUGCAGUCAUUUUAGUGAAACCCCAUCUCAAUUUCAAUAACUACCAAGAGUAAGUUUUCACAUCCACUCCAAUCUGCCUACAUAUUCCACACGAUGUUUAAUUGUUCCAGAAGCUGAGAGUGCCUGGCUUGUUACCUUCGCAGGCUUUGUACUGUACUUCAAUUCAAACCUAGGGAAUUUUCUGUGGUUCUCUUCUGUACUAGAAGGUAUAUCCAGCUGGAUCUCAUUUAGGAACUCGUCUGCCACAUCUCCAUCUUCAUCUAUCCUAAGACGCUUGGCAUACCAUCUCAAUCCCUAAGCACGGAUAAAAAUGUGAACUAAUGAACAUGUGCCUCGCAAACUAACAAGUUAUUCUAAAUUUAAGACAAUGAAAGCACAAAACAGGAUGCACUCAGCGUCAAUCAAGAAAUCAUAGUUAUAUAAACAAGUUGAUCAUGAUACGGACUGUCAAACAUAGUUGUCAUUCUCUCUUCACCAUCCAAGAACAUGCACCUUUACUCAUAUGAUUCUAAUUGAAUCAAGAAACUUAAAUACUCAUGCUAUUUGUAACAUUAUGAGCUUAACUUUAGGAUUUUGAAACGCAAGGAGAAGAAAAUGCACAAACACCAAAAUUUCCAGCAAAGAAGCACAGACGGGCAUUAACAAAACUGCAGCAGGACCCACGGUCUCAAGAAGUUAAUUGACUACACCUCAAGUGAAGAAGCCUAAAAAAAUGUGAAUCCUCCUUCAAACAAUUUCCCAUGUCCUCUGUAACCUAGAAAAUCAUUUUUUUUACCAGAUACCCUUUUCCUAUUUCUCAAGUACGUUUUAGAGGGAGAAGAAGGUUGGCUAUAUAGGAAUUUUGAGUAUGAUAGAGAGCACUAAGAAGUACUAGAAGCUAAAAGAAUAUGAGGAAUAACAAAUUAAUGAAUGAACUCUUCUUUCCGGCUUUCAAAUGCUUAUCAGAUGGGCCACGUAACAUCAGAGCUCAUACCACAGAAGGUUAAUGGAAAGACACCUGUUUUUUUUAAUGUCCGAGAAAUCAAUUUCCGACCUUUGGGCCAACCGCAGCCUUCAUAACUCGGGAUGAUGCCCCCCCCCCCCUAAUUGAAAGACACCUUAUCUCCAGAGUCAUUCAAUAACAAGCUAGAAGUGAGAUCUCCAGAGGACUUCCCCUCCUUAUCUCAACAAGUCCCUGGAACUUAGAAACAUAGCCACAAACAAUACUAGGUCCCGAGAAGAGCGUGUAAGCAUAUUACAGUAUUCAGUGGUACUCUCUGAGUCUGAGUCUAGUGGUUUAUGGCUCUAUGCACUUCCAAUUGCUACAGGACAUGCAUUACAAAAGCUUAAAAGAGCAUAGAAGCCUUUUAGGUGGCCAGAUGCACUCAUUUAACAUACAUUUAGUUGGUAAAUCCCCAAAAUUGGCCUGCAAGUGCAUCCUCCCCAACACCAAAUACUAAUUUUCUUAAAGAGGUGGCCACUAGCCAUCAUAGGUUUUUAGAACUAAAGAAUAGUUACAUGAGCUAUUAAAAGAAAGGAAAUGGCAAGAAGAUCAACACAUCAGAUGUAGGGGUAUUUAAUGAGAGAGAAUACUUAUAUGGUUGACGCAAAAUAGCUUUGAAGGGAUUUCAUCUUCCUUUUUACCGAUAAUUGUGGUGUCUGAGCCAGUUUGCGCGUAUCUCAACUAAUUCCAAGGGGUACCUACAUGCUACCUUCCACCAGCACAGGUAGUGGGUGGAUUUCACCUUCUUUCUUAUCACAUCCUCUCCUUUUUACUUCUAAGUAAUCCUCUUAUCCAGAGAAAUUGAUUGUUAGCUCUAUAAUAGAAUAUCUAAUUUGAACUUCCACUCGUUCAUUCAGAAUUUAUAAGAUAAUGUUUUCAACCACCAAAUCAUCGCGGUUGAAACGCCAUUUCAUCUAGAUAGUAUUGUGGAAGGCAGAAACCAUAGAAAAGCACCAAGUUGCGAUGGCUUUUAGCACAAUGCACAAUUAAAGCAUGGAUUUCAGUUAAGAAGAGGCAAAUGGAGGAAAUAUAUCCAUGUGCAUAUAAUUGUAUAUAAUGCAAGAAAAAUACUUUUACACCAAAAAAAAAAAACAUUUAUUUGGAGAAAAUUGAAAGAAAAACGCCAUGAAGUGAAAUAUAAGAAGUAAAAUUAUGUCAAUCAAAUUCAACCAAUUUUAAGAUUCUGAUUUAGAUGCAACGAUGCCUUUGAAGUGUCAAAUUUAAUGACCAGCUUUCGUCAACUACAUUCUAAUUUCAUAUCUUAUCACUUUUUCCCCUUCUCCAGUUAAUUACCUGAACGCCGCCAUGGCCAGUAGUACAGGGAAUAAGGAUAGGACCAGGUAGAUCUCUGGGAACAGCAACUUGAACAGGGACACUGAAUCCUUUGCGAAGAGGUACAUUAUUACUAUUUUGAGCUCCUUCACCUACGUUGUCCUCUUCUUCUCUCACCUCUUGCCCUUCGUCCUUUGAAAACCCUAGAAACCCAGCUAAUCUCCUAAAUAUACCCAUUCACUUUCUAGUUCUAACUUCUAAGUAGAUACACAUGCAUUUCAAGUACCAGUAAAUGAAGGCAACAGCAAAUGGCUCACAAAUCCACAAUCGGCGGCAGAUCUUAAGUCUUACGUCUUCGACCUGACUGGUGAUCGGCGAAUCGCUAAGUACAGAUGACGAUUAUGAUGAUGACUAGUUUAGAGGUGCCACGAGCUGGAAAAAAAUGCCUUCUUUUUUCACUACCUCAAUUAACCACAAAAGAUCGGAGAAGGUCAUAGACUCAUUGUCAAUAAUUUAGGGACGGAAGACCGAAAUCGAGGGCAA